CCUACGGGUGGCAGCAGUGGGGAAUAUUGGUCAAUGGGCGCAAGCCUGACCCAGCAACGCCGCGUGAAGGAAGAAGGCUUUCGGGUUGUAAACUUCUUUUCUCAGGGACGAAGCAAGUGACGGUACCUGAGGAAUAAGCCACGGCUAACUACGUGCCAGCAGCCACGGUAAUACGGAGGUGGCAAGCGUUAUCCGGAUUUACUGGGUGUAAAGGGCGUGUAGGCGGGGACGGAAGUCAGAUGUGAAAACCACGGGCUCAACCGGUGGCCUGCAUUUGAAACUGUGUUUCUUGAGUACUGGAGAGGCAGACGGAAUUCCUGGUGUAGCGGUGAAAUGCGUAGAUAUUACGAGGAACACCAGUGGCGAAGGCGGUCUGCUGGACAGCAACUGACGCUGAGGCGCGAAAGCGUGGGGAGCAAACAGGAUUAGAUACCCGUGUAGUC
This 443-nucleotide ribosomal RNA is filed under the name uncultured bacterium. RNAcentral describes it as "partial 16S ribosomal RNA". It matches the Rfam family "Bacterial small subunit ribosomal RNA", at positions 338 to 795 of the family's 1533-position model. The record is from RNAcentral.